UGUUAGAAAUAAACUUCAAAGAACUUCGGAAAGAAAUGCCUUCAACUGCAAUAUGCUGGCGAUACAAAACUAUCCAUACCCCCUGCAUGUUUAUGCACCUGUCCUGAUUGAUUCAGGGGCCUGUCGUUCAGCAGUUAGAUAUCGUUCGUUGAUGUUCAUAAAUAUUAUUUGGUAUUUUCCCGUUUGUAUAUAUAUAUAAAUUAAAUCGUUGGUUUUUCUGUUCGAAUUGUGUACACUUAUAAUUUUGGGGUCCCUCAUAGCUUGCUGUUUGGUCUGGGUCAAAGCUCUGCCGUACGUACUAUGACCUGUAUUUGUUAUUAUCC
This 323-nucleotide long non-coding RNA is filed under the name Mytilus galloprovincialis (Mediterranean mussel). The record is from RNAcentral. Lineage: Eukaryota; Metazoa; Mollusca; Bivalvia; Mytilida; Mytilidae.